Cherax quadricarinatus is the source of this 3446-nucleotide RNA transcript. It is a transcript of the gene named phosphoribosylamine--glycine ligase-like, with no coding region annotated. The record is from RefSeq and is a predicted model, not a curated record. Lineage: Eukaryota; Metazoa; Arthropoda; Malacostraca; Decapoda; Parastacidae.
UAGUGAUACACCAUGUGUUCCUCGGGUUUUGAGAAGCUGGAAGAUCAGGAAAAAAUAUCAAAUCAGUAUAAAUUACAAUAACUCAAUAUUAUUUCUGUAAAUCCAACUAAAAUAAAUGAAGUAAUAAUAAAAAGAUAGCCAAAACAAUAAAUUGGAAAGGUUAAAGUUAAGAAAUGGGGUUAGAAGCCUAUUAACUACACGAGUAUCAUUAAGGCUGUGGGUAACAUGUUCACCACCAGUUAAGAAUACUUCAAUUCCUUAAAAAAGGGUUAAUAUUAACCCUUUCAGGGUCCGUCCCAUAGAUCUACAGCUUUACGGUGAGUGUCCAAACCGUAGAUCUACGCCAUGAGCUCAGCUCACUCUGAUUAAACUGUGAGUGGUACAUUUGGGCCUAGAUAUGAGAGAAUACAUCUAUAUGGAAUGUGUGCACCACAUAAAACAGAUCCUGCAGCACGCUGUGUAUAAUGAGAGAAAAAAACUGAAAUCAUGAUUUUUCGAUUAAAACAGCAACUUUGCAGUGUUUUUUCGUAUGUUUUUUAUAGUUGUAUUUGCGAUUUCUUGGUCUCAUUUGAUAGAAUGGAAGACAUAUUACAGAAAUAGAGAUCAUUUUGAUUGGUUUUAGCACUGGAAAUGGCUUGAAACUGAGCUCAAACUAGCGGAAAUGUUAAAUUUUUGCCGAUAUUCAAGAGUAAACAAACGACCUCACACGUCUAAUACACGUCAGCUGGUGGGUCUAAUAUACAUUCACAAAUAUGGUGAUGAUAUUUAUACAAUUAUUACAGUAUUGCAUAACAGUAAAUCUUCUAUUUUUUGGUGUGAAUAAAAAUUCAUUAUGUGAAUAAAAAAUCAAAUGGAAUUUAUUUGUAAAGCCUCAAAACAUAACUAAUGAACAGAGGAAAUGUUAGUUUAGUGCCAGGAAUGCCUACAUUGUUUAUUCUGGACCCUAUUUUGAAAUUGGAAUAUUUUGAACUUUGUGUUAAAUUGGCCAAAUUAACAAUUUCCGAUCACUUUAUUUUGUAGUUGAAACAGUUGACUUGGCGAUUUCUUGUGCUCAGUCGAUAGAAUAGAAGUAAUACUAGUGAAAUAGCUAAUAAUUUGGUUGAUUGGAAUAAUGUAAUUGGCCUAAAAUGGGAGUCAAAGUCAGCAAAAUCGCCGAUUCGUAAAUAUCGCUGACACGUCAAAAUUCGCGAGAGCAUAAUUUCGUCAAUUUUCCACCAAAUUUCGUACUUUUUGUUUUAUUACCUUCACAAAAAUAUUCUCUACGAUUUCAUAAGAAAAAAUAACAAAUUUUUUUUUUGAAAAUUCUUGGACACUGGUGCGUGACUCCAGAUUUGGGCCUUGGACCCUGAAAGGGUUAAAGUAAUCUUUUAGUGUAAUGCAUACACACCAAGAGUCAUACAUCUCUUGUUGUAUAUGCUACAAAAUGAAAAGCCAAAUCAGUCAUGGACUUUUAUUUUUAACCCUUAAACUGUCCAAAUGUAGAUCUACGUUUGCACGUGUAGCGCUCCAAACGUAGAUCAACGUUUUAUUUUUCAUUCCUUCAAAUUUGGCACAAUAGGCUUGAGUCGCCUAGACAUGAAAGAGAGGGUCUGUGCACUCAGUGUGUGCACUAUUAAAAAAAUCUGGGAGCACUUAGUACCUUGUGGGAGCACCAGUUCAAAUGAGCGCCAGCUAGAGCAAAUAGUGCGGCAAACACCAGGGAUUCACUGAUGCCAUGUCGCAUUAACACUCCCAUUUUAAGAGGAAAGUAAAAACAGGUUAGAUAAAUACAUGAGUGAGUGUGGGUGGGUGUGAGUUGGACUUGACCAGCUUGUGCUACUAGGUCUGAUGUCAUGCUCCUUCCUUCACUGGAUGUGACCUGACUAGGUGGGUCAUGGGUCUAAGCCAGGGGGGGAAGGGUGACAUGUACCUGCCUUGCAUGGGCCAGUAGGCCUGUUGCAGUGUUCCUUCUUUCUUAUGUUCUUAUGUAUUCGGCAGGCUGGCCGGUUGGCUGUCUUGCUUUGGCUAUCUCUGGCUGUUUCUCUGUCUAUAUCUCUAUCUGUCUAUAUAUGUGCCUAUCUAUAUCUCUGCCUAUCUAUAUCUCUGUCUAUGUCUCUGUCUAUCUAUAUCUCUGUCUCACAUAUACACAUAAGUACAGUUACAUAGUGUAAAUUACCUAGGAUAACCCAAAAUUUCCAGGCAAAGAUAGACAGAUACAUGUUUGUGUGUAUCAGUGAAAACAAAUAAAGCCAGGGUUCCCCGAGCACCCAUUUAUCAAAUGCCACCGAGCUGAUAACAGAUGCCAUAACACAAUUCUUCAAGGAGUGCGAUAUACAUAUACUACAGGCAGACAGAAAGACAGAUAAGCAGAGAUAGGCAGACAGACAGAUAGAUAAAUAGACAGAGAGACAAGACAUGUUUGUGUGUAACAGUGAUAACAAAUACAGUGAGGGUUAGCUGGAGCAGUGGGCAUUUAUCAAAUGUCACUGGGCUGUCAACAGUAUAGGGAUGCCUUUCAUAACACCAUGCUUCAAGAGCGCGCGGAAAAUUGCCUGACUGCACCCAAAACACACACACACCCGGGUUGGCGAAGGUGGUUGGGAGGUACUUCUUAAUUGAUAGAUUUACCCUUCAAGGAAGAGGGGUUGCAACACCAGGGUAGACAACUUGUGAGGCUGAGGUACCCACCUCAGAGCUAGGUGUCAACACAGCUUGCCAGGGUAGACAACACAGCUUGCCAGGGUAGACAACUCACAUGGAGGCAGUCCAGACAAAUUUUCUCACAAGUGAUUCAAGAUGAGUGUGGUGUUGGUGUUGGGUUCCGGUGGUAGCUGCUGCCCUGGCUGCCUCUCCUGCAGUGUCAUCUGUCCUCAAUGCCCCGGGUAAUGCUGGCACUUAAACCACUCCCAAUGUCACCAACAUUUCCCUCAACAUCAAGGAUCACCAAGUAUUUGGACCAACGAAAGCAGCAGCCCAGGUUGAAGCCAGCAAAGCCUGGGCUGAAGAUUUUAUGGUGCAUCAAGGAGUGCCAACAGCCAGCUAUUCAACAUUCACUGAUCCUCAGCAAGCUAAAGACUUUAUAAAGAAGUGAGAACUGUGAACCUUUACAUGGAAACAGUCAAAUGCAUAUAGUAUACUGCUGCAUACUGAAGAUACCAUGAUAGCGGUAAGACAUUAAUUUCUCAGUAGUAGUAACCAGUUACCAGUAACCAGUGUACCGUUGACUCAACGACCAACCGUCUCUGCCUGAGUCACUAUCUGAACUCAUAUUGCGCUGACCUGGCAUUAUUCAAAGACCCCCUCACAUAUGGGUACUGUGGGCGGCCAGUCAGUCAGUGUUAAGAGAGCAGAGAGAUAGGUACGGCUGUAAGGGCGCACUCCACAUUAUCUGUAAUUAUACGUACUACCAGCCUACGUGAGUAUUUCUUUACCUAAUCCACGUGUCGAACUCCCACAUGAUAAAUUUG